RNAcentral lists this ribosomal RNA (440 nucleotides) under uncultured bacterium. Its description in RNAcentral is "partial 16S ribosomal RNA". It matches the Rfam family "Bacterial small subunit ribosomal RNA", at positions 338 to 795 of the family's 1533-position model. The record is from RNAcentral.
CCUACGGGGGGCAGCAGUGGGGAAUAUUGCACAAUGGGGGAAACCCUGAUGCAGCGACGCCGCGUGAGUGAAGAAGUAUCUCGGUAUGUAAAGCUCUAUCAGCAGGGAAGAAAAUGACGGUAACUGAUUAAGAAGCACGGGCUAACUACGAGCCAGCAGCCACGGUAAUACGUAGGGGGCAAGCGUUAUCCGGAUUUACUGGGUGUAAAGGGAGCGUAGACGGGAGGACAAGGCUGGAGGGAAAUGCCUGGGCUUAACCCCGGAACUGCAUUGGAAACUGGGCAGCUAGAGUGCAGGAGAGGUAAGUGGAAUGCCUAGUGUAGCGGUGAAAUGCGUAGAUAUUAGGAGGAACACCAGUGGCGAAGGCAGCUUACUGGCCUGUAACUGACGUUGAGGCUCGAAGGCGUGGGGAGCGAACAGGAUUAGAUACCCCAGUAGUC